AGCGAUGGAUGGUUGCAGCAUA
RNAcentral lists this non-coding RNA (22 nucleotides) under Arabidopsis thaliana (thale cress). The record is from RNAcentral. Lineage: Eukaryota; Viridiplantae; Streptophyta; Magnoliopsida; Brassicales; Brassicaceae.